This is a long non-coding RNA of Eptesicus fuscus (big brown bat), 308 nucleotides long. RefSeq lists it as uncharacterized. Lineage: Eukaryota; Metazoa; Chordata; Mammalia; Chiroptera; Vespertilionidae. The transcript is spliced from 3 exons. The record is from RefSeq and is a predicted model, not a curated record.
CUGGGAAGACGUUGAAGGCUGGGAGAAGAGUGUGUUGCAGAUUUAAUAUUAAUUUGACAUCAUUUUAAUGCCCGGAGAAUGGUGCCCUUCCUGGAAUUGAACUUUAAUAUUAAAUAUAAGAUUGGACAAUAGCCAGGAGCAGGAAUCAGGGGGAGAUGCAAACCAUUGCUUUAAACCUUGCUGCUUCUGUUUGGAAGAGGACAUCACAUCCUACAAUCUCAAUGGCUCCCCCUGGAGUUCAACAUAGAUAGUGCCCAUAGAAUUUUGCAGUGUGGCAUUUUUGCUUUAACACGAAUUCAUUCUCUGAA